This is a long non-coding RNA of Pezoporus flaviventris, 1616 nucleotides long. RefSeq lists it as uncharacterized. The transcript is spliced from 3 exons. Lineage: Eukaryota; Metazoa; Chordata; Aves; Psittaciformes; Psittacidae. The record is from RefSeq and is a predicted model, not a curated record.
UCACGCAGAAAGCCAUGUCUCAAGACUCCCAGCCACAAACUGAUGGAGGUGACCAGAAACACACCAUAACCAUCGCAGCUGGUCAAAGAUCCUGUAACAGGCCUGCAAGGAGCUCAACUGAGCAAUUCCCUCAGAAGCAAAGAGGGGAGGAGUAUGUUCUCACUGUGCAGCGGAAGACGGAUGCAGUCUACGGAGGCAAGUGAAGUGCUGCUUGUUAGAUCAAAGCUAAGCAUCUCUGCUCGACAUACUUCAAACAGGAACUGAGGAUGGUGGUUCUCCAAGUGUUUGUUUUUAUCGGGUUUCCUGUGUUCAGUUUAGGGAAAACAGACAACAGGAGUUGUUUGAAAUAAAGCUGUAAUUUACUAUCCUAACAUGCUGAGAAGCAAUUAGAUUCAAGCUAAUUACUGUAAAUAGUUUUUAUAAUUACUUGUAAAACAUUCUACUACCUGUACAUCUGCUAAAGUCAGUCGAGGCCUGUAGUAGUAUUUUUUUUCUAAGAGAAGGCUUAAUGUUAUUACUCAAGGGCCAAACUGUUUUCUUGAAAUCUUCAAAAAGGAGUAGCUAUGCUGUAGAAACUACUGCUGGAAAGCAUCUGUUAGGGCAUGCAUCCCCUUCACAAGACUGUGUGUAUCAGUAAACUGAAGAGUUGUCUAGGCUAGUUUAUAUUUCACAACUAUACUACUACCUGGAAAGACUGUUCCAGAACCUAAAAAGAUCUUUGUCAAAAGAAGAAUCAAAUAAUUUUCAGCUGAAUCCUGAUUUUCUUAAGCUUUGUCCCACUAUUCAGGUUUUUCUCUCUACUUGAAGCAUACAGAAAACAAUCUCUCCCUUAUGUUCUUCUACCACAACCAUUAUUUUUUCGUUCAGCAUUGGUCACUUUGGCCUGGCCCUUCACACUUUCACAGGCACACAAACCAGUUGGAGUUCCACCACCUCUGUGCCCUCACGAUCACAGCUUUAAGUUUUUUCCUCUUCCCACAGGUCUGUCAACUCUUGUUCUGAACUUGACCCAGUGGUCUCCAGUUUGGACAACUAUUUCUGCACUGCUGAUGGGUGCUCAAACAAUCCUAGUCUGUUGUUUGGGUUUUGGUUCACCUGAAAAGGUCUCCUGACAUCUGGGGGCAAUUCCAAGAACUCAUGGAUAGUGCACAUUGGUUUAUUUAAGCAUACAGUAAUGCAUUGGCAACUUUCUUCAACAAAGGGUGACUUCCACACAUGUACAAGUCUAUCUCACACAAAAUACACAUCUUAGCUGUCAAAUAACAAAAUGCAAAUACAGGAACGUGUUGUUGGGUUGUCCUACCAUUUAUGAGCUUCAUCUUAACUCUAAUCUUACUACACAGAGACAAUUAAUUGUAAUCCUGCACAUAGAAUGGCAUGGGACCUGAUGACCAUGAGGUUAAGAGCAAAUCUCUGUAUACUGGAAUGUGAGGGGGAAGAGGAACUAGAAGUCCAUUUUUUCACAUAUUAUUACCCUUCUCCUGCAGUGCAGGGGUAUUUCCUUGCACACCUUUACCUUUUUAGCUUGUUAUAGAGCAGCUUCACACAGGUCUUGUGCAGUUGAUGACAGAAAUGCUGCCAACCACUUCUGCAGUUGAUAGAAAAGCCUGUCAGAA